Cimex lectularius (bed bug) is the source of this 756-nucleotide long non-coding RNA. RefSeq lists it as uncharacterized. Lineage: Eukaryota; Metazoa; Arthropoda; Insecta; Hemiptera; Cimicidae. The record is from RefSeq and is a predicted model, not a curated record. The transcript has 4 exons.
UGUAAACGAAGUGAAAUUAAGUAAUUUAUAUUUUAUAGUUUUGAAAUCAUAUGAAAAAUGUAACUUAAAAUAAGCACAAUAAUACAAGACAUAACUUACCCUGUGAACCUAUCAAUGGAAUGUAGAAAGAGAAGAGUUAUGUAUAGGAACAUGACGAAAAUUAUUGACGAAACGCAUAAUUCUGUCCAGAGGAAUAUAUUUACUAAAGUUGGACGAUUUAUUAUGACCAAUGUUGGCAGUAAAGUUUAAUUUGUGAUUGGAAAUAAAACCUAGGUUGAUUAGUAAAGGUUUUCAAAGAAAAAUCAGUACUAUUAAUAAAAAAUAAGUGAUUGUCGAAAGACUAGUCGUACAAACAAUACAAGUCGAAUUGAAGAAGAAAACAGUAAUGCAAUAGGCUGUAACAAUUUUAAGUCAUCAGCAGGGAAGAGGAGAUGAGUAUUUUAGAAUGGAAGGAAGGUCGUCAAAAUAUUAAAUAAGAGUGGAGAGAGAUGAUCACCUUGGGGAACACCAAAGGAAACUUUUAUUACUUGAGAUCUAUAACUAUCUAAUGCAACAAUCUGUUCACGGUUUACAGAAAUAUUAUUCAACCUUUGUCACGGGCGACUUGGGAAAUCACAUAGCCUUCAAAUCGUCUCACUCAGACAGCAAUAAUAAGGUGGUUGUUUGUACGCUUUUAAACCACUCACACUUUACCCGGUAUUGGUAUUUAAUUUCUACCAAAAACUUUUAUUUAUUAAACCAACCCUUUUCUCGCUA